Molecule: transfer RNA, 73 nt
Filed under: Paramuricea clavata
Lineage: Eukaryota; Metazoa; Cnidaria; Anthozoa; Malacalcyonacea; Plexauridae
Rfam family: tRNA
About the family: Transfer RNA (tRNA) molecules are approximately 80 nucleotides in length. Their secondary structure includes four short double-helical elements and three loops (D, anti-codon, and T loops).
Source: Rfam by way of RNAcentral
AACCACGUAGCUCAGUUGGAAGAGCAUUGGGCUGGUAUUCCAAAGGUCGUAGGUUCGAAUCCCACCGUGGCCG